CCUGAUCAAAGGGCUCUGAGCUGGGGGAAUUGGGCAGUCGGGAUUUCUAUUCCAGAUGUGUUUUGCAAGUGCUCUGGAGGCUCUGCAAGCUCACAUUCUUCUGAGUGACUGGAGCUCUGUGCUGGGCCUGGGUGCUGGAGGACCCCUGCUUGGAGGAG
Long non-coding RNA from Oxyura jamaicensis (ruddy duck), 158 nucleotides. RefSeq lists it as uncharacterized. NCBI's taxonomy places the organism in Eukaryota, Metazoa, Chordata, Aves, Anseriformes, Anatidae. The transcript is spliced from 3 exons. The record is from RefSeq and is a predicted model, not a curated record.